GGGAUUGUCGUCUAGCUUGGCUAUGAUACUAGUCUGGGGGACUAGUGGUCGCAGGUUCAAAUCCUGCCAAUCCCACCA
Molecule: transfer RNA, 78 nt
Filed under: Nitrososphaerota archaeon
Lineage: Archaea; Thermoproteati; Nitrososphaerota
Description: Thaumarchaeota archaeon tRNA-Pro
Rfam family: tRNA
About the family: Transfer RNA (tRNA) molecules are approximately 80 nucleotides in length. Their secondary structure includes four short double-helical elements and three loops (D, anti-codon, and T loops).
Source: RNAcentral